This 1229-nucleotide ribosomal RNA is filed under the name fungal sp. RNAcentral describes it as "eukaryotic LSU rRNA". It matches the Rfam family "Eukaryotic large subunit ribosomal RNA", at positions 103 to 1357 of the family's 3401-position model. Lineage: Eukaryota; Fungi. The record is from RNAcentral.
AACAGCUCAAAUUUGAAAUCUGGCCCUCGGGUCCGAGUUGUAAUUUGUAGAGGAUGCUUUUGGCGCGGUGCCUUCCGAGUUCCCUGGAACGGGACGCCUUAGAGGGUGAGAGCCCCGUACGGUUGGACACCAAGCCUCUGUAAAGCUCCUUCGACGAGUCGAGUAGUUUGGGAAUGCUGCUCUAAAUGGGAGGUAAAUUUCUUCUAAAGCUAAAUAUUGGCCAGAGACCGAUAGCGCACAAGUAGAGUGAUCGAAAGAUGAAAAGCACUUUGAAAAGAGGGUUAAAUAGCACGUGAAAUUGUUGAAAGGGAAGCGUUUGCGACCAGACCUUUUCCUAGCGGAUCAUCCGGUGUUCUUCACCGGUGCACUUCGCUAGGUUGAGGCCAGCAUCGGUUUUCGUAGGGGGAUAAAAGCCCUGGGAACGUAGCUCCUCCGGGAGUGUUAUAGCCCUCUGCAUAAUACCCUUACGGGGACCGAGGACCGCGCUUUUAGCAAGGAUGCUGGCGUAAUGGUCGUCAACGACCCGUCUUGAAACACGGACCAAGGAGUCGAACAUUUGUGCGAGUGUUUGGGUGUUAAACCCUCACGCGUAAUGAAAGUGAACGGAGGUGAGAGCCCUUACGGGUGCAUCAUCGACCGAUCCUGAUGUCUUCGGAUGGAUUUGAGUAAGAGCAUAACUGUUCGGACCCGAAAGAUGGUGAACUAUGCGUGGAUAGGGUGAAGCCAGAGGAAACUCUGGUGGAGGCUCGCAGCGGUUCUGACGUGCAAAUCGAUCGUCAAAUCUGCGCAUGGGGGCGAAAGACUUAUCGAACCAUCUAGUAGCUGGUUACCGCCGAAGUUUCCCUCAGGAUAGCAGUGUUGUUCUUCAGUUUUAUGAGGUAAAGCGAAUGAUUAGGGACUCGGGGGCGCUUUUUAGCCUUCAUCCAUUCUCAAACUUUAAAUAUGUAAGAAGCCCUUGUUACUUAAUUGAACGUGGGCAUUCGAAUGUACCAACACUAGUGGGCCAUUUUUGGUAAGCAGAACUGGCGAUGCGGGAUGAACCGAACGCGGGGUUAAGGUGCCGGAGUGGACGCUCAUCAGACACCACAAAAGGUGUUAGCACAUUUAGACAAUAGGACGGUGGCCAUGGAAGUCGGAAUCCGCUAAGGACUGUGUAACAACUCACCUAUCGAAUGUGCUAGCCCUGAAAAUGGAUGGCGCUCAAGCGUCCCACCCAUACCUCGCCCUCA